UUCCAGUGCACAGCCAGGGUUAAGCACCACUGAUUUGGUUUAAUAGAAGCUGAAGUGAUGUCCCAUAUCUACUUGGCUGGGAAAUGCCACAAGACUAGGCCGUGCAACAUUUCCGCAGUGCUCCUCGCUACAAAGACAUUCCCCUAAGGCUGGUGGGCAACUCAACACUCAGCUCAGUACGUGGUCAGCUCGUCCUCCAUAGGAGCCUUAUGCCUUGGUGAGGAGAUCUCUGAAGAAAUUGCUGAUGAAAGUCCAACAGGCUCUUCCAGUUUGUCUGGUCGGUCACAUUUGCUGAAACCUGGAGGAAUUGUUAGUGGAAGCUCAACAGGCCUGACUCAGUCUGACUGUCCAUUCUUCUGGAAGCUGCAGAGAAAAGAAACCUGGAAACCUUAUAUGCUGACAAAAAGGGACACAAUUGGAUAUGAUGGUUAUUUUACCAAGGUUUUGAAAUGUCGUGCUUUCAAAUAUAAACAGACUGCUUUAAGGAAUCGAAGUUGACUUAUAGAGCCAAUAAAAGCCCUGCAGGAAAGCUGGCCUCAUACUUUGUCUACACAGUCUCUGUACAGGUUUCCUGACCUGUGGUGAGUAAAGAAUGUCACCUUCUGAAAGUCCAGGGAUCCCAAGUUAUCUUGGGACCUGGAGAGGAGGAAAAUUCACCCAACUCAUACAGGUAUAUUUGCAGCCGUAGAUAAAUCUGUGGAUGGGCUCCAAGGCUUUAAAAAGUAUAAUCUGAGAUUCCUUAUGGAACAAAGUUUCAGCA
This 760-nucleotide long non-coding RNA is filed under the name Homo sapiens (human). RNAcentral's name for it is "HSALNT0090154". Lineage: Eukaryota; Metazoa; Chordata; Mammalia; Primates; Hominidae. The record is from RNAcentral.